RNAcentral lists this unclassified non-coding RNA (200 nucleotides) under soil metagenome. RNAcentral's name for it is "partial contains internal transcribed spacer 2 and large subunit ribosomal RNA". The record is from RNAcentral.
UCAUUUCAAACCUCAAGCGCAAGCUUGGUCUUGGGCGACGUCCUACCCGGACGCGCCAGAAACAUGUAGGCAGUGGUGCCCGUCUCCCAGCGUAGUCAAUUCUAUCCGCUCAGGAGUGCGUGGUGCUGCCCGCCGCACAACCCCAACAUAUUUUUCUAUGGUUUGACCUCGGAUCAGGUAGGGAUACCCGCUGAACUUAA